RNAcentral lists this non-coding RNA (494 nucleotides) under Pan troglodytes (chimpanzee). The record is from RNAcentral. Lineage: Eukaryota; Metazoa; Chordata; Mammalia; Primates; Hominidae.
GCUCUAUUCCAGAAGCAGUCUGGAGCACAAAGAAUCCCUAAUCACUGACAUUAAGAAAGAAGAAAAAUAUUCCUAGGACGAUCCUGGAGAGCAAAGGUCAUCAGCAGUCACUUGACUUUCCUUGGAUUUCUCAACUGCAAUAGUCACAUGGUCUGCUGAAAAUGAAUUCUCUUUAUUUUCAUCUGAUUUCAAGGAAUUAUGGUUUUCAGUGAUUUCUUCAUUUGGAUCUAUUUUGAGACAGAGUAAUAGCAUUAAAACCCCCUUCUGAAUUAAUAAGGCAUUUGUUGCUGAAACGCAAAGUGUGACAAGCCAAUGGAGAAGAGACACACACAUGCAGAGAAAACACAGGGAAGAAGGCCACAUGGGAUGAAGGCAGAGAUGGGAAUGAUGCAGCUACAAGCCAGCUACAAGCCAAGGAAUGCCAUGGACUGCCGGCAACCACUAGAAAGAAGCUGGAAAAGGCAAGGAAGGAUUCUUCCGUGAUGCCUUCAGAG